UUAANUUCGAGAUGAGACAACAAAAUCUACCUCUGAUUCUAACCAGGUUUAUCUUGAUGGAUGGUUGAAAGAUAUCCGAGCUGAGAAAACAAAAUCCACCCCUGACUCCAAACAAGUUUAUCUUGAUGGAUGGUUGAAAAAUACCCGAAACUAGUUCAUGUCUUUGUUAAUCAAUAUCUAUGUCAUUUUGAAAACUUUUCAUGUGCUCAUAUGUUUUUAAUCUUCGUGCUACGUAAAACCUUAUUUCUAUGUAUUAAGUAAGAUCUCGUUUGUGUACUAAAUAAGUUAUUGUUUCUAUGAACUAGUUGUUUGUGUUUUAAAAUAAACUUUAAUUUAAUCUGAUAAAGAUUGAGUUGAUCUCUCUUUAAUUUUUAUAACUUUAGUAGUUGUUUGUAUAACCUCUAAGAAAUGUGCAAUUAUGUUUUGUUAAUUCAAUUAAUUCAAUGUGUUUAUUCUUAAAAUGAAUCGGGGAAUAGAGGUUAAUGAGAGAGAUCAAAUUCUCAAUCAUUUGAGAUGAGAAGAUAUCACAAUUCUUAAAAUCUUAGAGUAUAAUUAUUCUAAUAUUAUCAUGUGUGAUUAGUGUGUUAUUAUCUUUAUAUUAAUUAUGUUAGUAUUAAU
This 618-nucleotide long non-coding RNA is filed under the name Lathyrus oleraceus (garden pea). Its description in RNAcentral is "Pisum sativum (pea) long non-coding RNA (PSAT_LNC040977)". Lineage: Eukaryota; Viridiplantae; Streptophyta; Magnoliopsida; Fabales; Fabaceae. The record is from RNAcentral.